Molecule: long non-coding RNA, 895 nt
Organism: Peromyscus leucopus (white-footed mouse)
Lineage: Eukaryota; Metazoa; Chordata; Mammalia; Rodentia; Cricetidae
Exons: 3
Source: RefSeq, a predicted model, not a curated record
ACGCACGUAGGACGUAAGAUCCUGAGAUAACUGAAUGUCUUGCCAGUGCCUGUGCGGUCAUGGGGGAGUGGCUAGGAAUUCUAUCAAAUAUAAGCUGUGUUAAGGCACUGGGAGCACUGGUCUAAACCGGGCGAAGGCAUUGGUGAAUGGACAGCUGGCCGGAGUCUCCACCUUCCCACACUGACUCCCGUGACUGGACCUCGUGGUGACAUCCAGGAACUUCCCCGGACCAUACACCACUCACAGCUUCCCUGCUGUACAGGGAUCACGGUCUCCAAUGUGCCACCUGCAGCCACUCUACAUACGCUCUGCUAACCCUCCUGUCAUCAGAAGUGCUGCCCUGAGUGGCCCGACUGCUCACCCAGAGAUGGCUGUGAAAGAGGAGAUUCCGGAACCAGAUCUCAGCUUCCACUUUGGCGGCGUUGUGGCUAAUACAGUCACCCACCCUCCCUUGUUUUAUUUCUUUCACUGGUAGAACCAGGGUAAUAUUGAAACCUAUGGCACCAGCACCCUGUGAGAUGUGACUAAAGCAGGACAUGAAGGCUCUUGGGAAAGUUAUUUUGGGUAAAGGAACAGACGUCAGAAUUGCUAACACUAUUGAUGUUGGAGCUGAGUCUUAAUUCCGUAGGUUGUCCACGGCACUCUGCCCUCUGGGCAUCGUAAUGGAGAGAUUUUGCUUUUCUAACUUAUCCCUCCUCCUACUGCUUCAACCUCUUUUGGAGGGGCCUAAAUGUAAUCCAACUGUAUCUUAUUAUUUUUCUAUUUUACUUGGAUGUUCUUCUCUUUAUCCUCCAUUUCUAAUCUCUUGUUACUUCUCCCCUGAACUUGUAUUCUUAAGAUCUACCCAUACUGAUAGUUGGACACAUGAAUUUAGUUUAUUUCUUAAGAUAAUUGA